This 251-nucleotide ribosomal RNA is filed under the name uncultured bacterium. Its description in RNAcentral is "partial 16S ribosomal RNA". It matches the Rfam family "Bacterial small subunit ribosomal RNA", at positions 526 to 776 of the family's 1533-position model. The record is from RNAcentral.
CGAAGGGGGCUAGCGUUGUUCGGAAUUACUGGGCGUAAAGCGCGCGUAGGCGGUGAUCUAUGUCCGGGGUGAAAUCCCGGGGCUCAACUCCGGAAUUGCCUUUGAAACGGGAUCGCUAGAGUCCGAGAGAGGAUGGCGGAAUUCCUAGUGUAGAGGUGAAAUUCGUAGAUAUUAGGAAGAACACCGGUGGCGAAGGCGGCCAUCUGGCUCGGUACUGACGCUCAGGCGCGAAAGCGUGGGGAGCAAACAGG